GGAUAAGCGGCGGAAACGCCGUCUAAUACCGCGUGACAACCCGAGGGGGCAUCCCCUUGGGUUCAAAGGAGAGAUCCGGUACCGGCUGGGCAUGCGGCGCAUUAGCUAGUUGGCGGGGCAACGGCCCACCAAGGCGACGAUGCGUAGGGGUUCUGAGAGGAAGGUCCCCCACACUGGAACUGAGACACGGUCCAGACUCCUACGGGAGGCAGCAGUGAGGAAUAUUGGUCAAUGGGCGCAAGCCUGAACCAGCCAAGUCGCGUGAGGGAAGACGGCCCUACGGGUUGUAAACCUCUUUUGCCGGGGAGCAAGCCUGAGCACGUGUGCCCAGGCGGAGAGUACCCGGAGAAAAAGCAUCGGCUAACUCCGUGCCAGCAGCCGCGGUAAUACGGAGGAUGCGAGCGUUAUCCGGAUUUAUUGGGUUUAAAGGGUGCGCAGGCGGGCUGUUAAGCCGGCGGUAAAAAUUCAGGGCUCAACCCUGUCGAGCCGUCGGAACUGGCAGUCUUGAGUGGGCGAGAAGUAUGCGGAAUGCGUGGUGUAGCGGUGAAAUGCAUAGAUAUCACGCAGAACGCCGAUUGCGAAGGCAGCAUACCGGCGCCCAACUGACGCUGAGGCACGAAAGCGUGGGGAUCGAACAGGAUUAGAUACCCUGGUAGUCCACGCAGUAAACGAUGAGCGAUAACUGUCCGGAGCGAGCGAGCUCUGGGU
This 708-nucleotide ribosomal RNA is filed under the name uncultured bacterium. RNAcentral's name for it is "bacterial SSU rRNA". It matches the Rfam family "Bacterial small subunit ribosomal RNA", at positions 141 to 844 of the family's 1533-position model. The record is from RNAcentral.